Molecule: unclassified non-coding RNA, 1303 nt
Filed under: uncultured Neocallimastigales
Lineage: Eukaryota; Fungi; Neocallimastigomycota; Neocallimastigomycetes; Neocallimastigales
Description: partial contains internal transcribed spacer 1, 5.8S ribosomal RNA, internal transcribed spacer 2, and large subunit ribosomal RNA
Rfam family: Eukaryotic large subunit ribosomal RNA (bases 585-1303)
Source: RNAcentral
UUUCCGUAGUGAACUGCGGAAGAUCAUUAAUAAAUGGUCUACGUUUUUUAAGUAGACGCUUAAUAAUCUACCUUGUGAAUUUGUUGUUUGAAAUAAUUUUUUUUAAAAUUAUUGAUUGUCUUCCCUGUUGAAUGGUUGUCUUAAUGGCAAUGAUUCGCAGGGUGUCAGUAAUUUUUAAAAGACUUUUUAAAAUUAAACUUUUGUAUUCAUUUGUCUAAAAUAUUUUAUAAUAUAAAACAACUUUUGACAAUGGAUCUCUUGUUCUCGCAACGAUGAAGAACGCAGCAAAAUGCGAUAAGUAGUGUGAAUUGCAGAAUACGUGAAUCAUCGAAUCUUCGAACGCAUAUUGCACUUUUUUAGUUACUAAAAAGUAUGUCUGUUUGAGUAUCAGUAAAUAUUCUCAUAAAACUUUUGUUUUUAUGUUAUGGGUGUUUACAACGAUACAGUUGUUCACUUUAAAUUUUUUUAAAUUUGAAUUUUCUAAUUUAAAAUAAAAUUGGAUAAAAUUUUCCGUAAAAAGGAAUAACCUAAACAAUUUAAUUUUUGAUUAGAAUCUUCAUUAUAAAGGAAAUUAACUAAUAACUUGAUCUCAAUCAGAUAAGAGUACCCGCUGAACUUAAGCAUAUCAAUAAGCGGAGGAAAGAAACUAACAGAUCCCUUAGUAACGGCGAGUGAAGCGGAAGAGCUCAAAUUUGAAAUCUUCAAGUUUUACCUUGACGAUUGUAGUUUAAAGAAGUGUUUUCUGUUGAAGUUUGGUAAAGUUCUUGGAAUAGGACUAUAGAGGGUGAGAAUCCCGUAUUUGACCAUUAUUUCAGCUGUGUGAUACACUUUCAAAGAGUCGGAUUGUUUGGGAAUGCAGUCCAAAAUGGUGGUAAAUUUCAUCUAAGCUAAUAUGGCGAGAGACCGAUAGCGAACAAGUACCGUGAGGGAAAGAUAAAGAACUUGAAAAGAGAGUUAAACAGUACGUGAAAUGUCAAAGGAAGCGCUUGACACCAGUGUGUUUUCUCGAAAUCAAUUAAAAAAGUUGGAUUUUGUGUUGUAUGACCUUAACAGCUUGCUUCACUCUUUCUUGCUUUUUUUAAUGCACUUUUCGUUAACAAGUCAACAUCAGUUCUUUUGUUGUAAAAGGGUCAUUGGAAGUGGCUUCUCUUCGGAGAAAGUGUUUAUAGCCUUUGAUCUCUGCAAUCGGAGAGACUGAGGUUGCAGCGUAGAUCUUCGGGUUAGAUACAUUGUGCUAAGCUACAGCUUUUCAUAGACAACUUGUUGACUAUGUUUAGUCUUGUACUUACCCGCUUAUGCUAUU